CUGAGCUUAGCUGAACUAGAGAGGCCAGGAAAGAAGAUGGCUCUGAGAGAUCACAGCCAUUAUCCAUUAAUCCCCACAGAAAUGAACAGGAUUCCUUUAGCGAAUCUCACUGAGUUGCUCUGGCUGGCCUCUAACCUGAGAUCCUCCUGUCUCAGCCUUCUGAGACACUGGAAUUACAGCUAUGAAAGUAACUCAUGUUAAUGAAGUUCUACUUUUACACAUGCUCCGCAGACAUAGAGAAAGAAUAAUAAUGCUUAUGAGUCCCAGAUUAAAAUAAAAAAUAUAUUGGAAAUUGGUC
This is a long non-coding RNA of Marmota monax (woodchuck), 298 nucleotides long. RefSeq lists it as uncharacterized. The transcript is spliced from 3 exons. The record is from RefSeq and is a predicted model, not a curated record. NCBI's taxonomy places the organism in Eukaryota, Metazoa, Chordata, Mammalia, Rodentia, Sciuridae.